RNAcentral lists this long non-coding RNA (869 nucleotides) under Salmo salar (Atlantic salmon). Its description in RNAcentral is "lncRNA (ENSSSAG00000088809.1)". Lineage: Eukaryota; Metazoa; Chordata; Actinopteri; Salmoniformes; Salmonidae. The record is from RNAcentral.
CUAUUAGUGGCCUAAACAUACAGAAGAAGUAAUAAAACAUUUUUUUUAAGUAAAUGUAUUACUCCUGAUGUCACAUGUUGCCAUGGAAACGUCCAAUGACAAACGGCUGAGGUGCCCCAUGACAGAGAAGAGAAGACACAGUUGGUGAGACAGUUGUGCUAAAGGCAAGAGGGGGAAAUCCCUCGGAGCGAGAGAGAGAGAGAGAGAGACAUAAUAUGACAUUUGAAAUGUCUCUAUUAUUUUGGAACUUCCAAGGGAUAUGCCUUUCGGUAUUGUUCUUGCCUGGGAGGGAAAAUGUCACAGCAGUGGCGCUGGUGCUGGCGCUGCUUUGGAGCGGAUCUGACACUCCGCAGAGGGAGGUCAAAGGCCACUAACAGAGUGGUUGGAACAAAACAGAAGCAGUGGGUGGUCCGGGGGAAGAUGGCUGACUCACCUCUGGUGGUCCAACAUCAAGAGGACUGGAGGACAAAGACAAUAAUACAUGGAGCAGCUUCCUGGACUCUCUGUCUACUCUGGCUGCACAGGAAAUGGAGCAGCUCCCUGGACUCUGUCUAAACUGGCUGCACAGGAAAGGGAGCAGCUCCUUAGACUCUGUCUACUCUGGCUGUACAGGAAAUGGAGCAGCCCCCUGGACUCUGUCUACUCUGGCUGCACAGGAAAUGGAGCAGCUUCCUGGAUUCUGUAUACUCUGGCUGCACAGGAAAUGGAGCAGCUCCCUGGACUCUGUCUACUCCGGCUGCACAGGAAAUGAAGCAGCUUCCUGGAUUCUGUAUACUCUGGCUGCACAGGAAAUGGAGCAGCUUCCUGGAUUCUGUAUACUCUGGCUGCACAGGAAAGGGAGCAGCUUCCUGGAUUCGGUAUACUCUAGC